CCUACGGGAGGCAGCAGUGAGGAAUAUUGGUCAAUGGACGAGAGUCUGAACCAGCCAAGUAGCGUGAAGGAUGACUGCCCUAUGGGUUGUAAACUUCUUUUAUAAAGGAAUAAAACGAGGUACGUGUGCCUUUUUGCAUGUACUUUAUGAAUAAGGAUCGGCUAACUCCGUGCCAGCAGCCGCGGUAAUACGGAGGAUCCGAGCGUUAUCCGGAUUUAUUGGGUUUAAAGGGAGCGUAGAUGGGUUGUUAAGUCAGUUGUGAAAGUUUGCGGCUCAACCGUAAAAUUGCAAUUGAUACUGGCAGUCGUGAGGACAGUUGAGGUAGGCGGAAUUCGUGGUGUAGCGGUGAAAUGCUUAGAUAUCACGAAGAACCCCGAGUGCGAAGGCAGCUUACUAAACUGUGACUGACAUUGAUGCUCGAAAGUGUGGGUAUCAAACAGGAUUAGAUACCCCAGUAGUC
This 460-nucleotide ribosomal RNA is filed under the name uncultured bacterium. Its description in RNAcentral is "partial 16S ribosomal RNA". It matches the Rfam family "Bacterial small subunit ribosomal RNA", at positions 338 to 795 of the family's 1533-position model. The record is from RNAcentral.